This is a non-coding RNA of Salmo salar (Atlantic salmon), 114 nucleotides long. The record is from Rfam. Lineage: Eukaryota; Metazoa; Chordata; Actinopteri; Salmoniformes; Salmonidae.
CUGGGCUACGGGGACAUGUACCCCAAGACGUGGCUGGGCAUGAUAGUGGGCGCGCUGUGCGCCCUGGCGGGGGUGCUGACCAUCGCCAUGCCCGUGCCUGUUAUAGUCAAUAAC